This 253-nucleotide ribosomal RNA is filed under the name uncultured bacterium. RNAcentral describes it as "partial 16S ribosomal RNA". It matches the Rfam family "Bacterial small subunit ribosomal RNA", at positions 524 to 776 of the family's 1533-position model. The record is from RNAcentral.
UACGGAGGGUGCGAGCGUUGUCCGGAAUCAUUGGGCGUAAAGGGCGCGUAGGUGGCGGGACAAGCGUGCGGUGAAAGCCUGGGGCUCAACCCCGGGUCGGCCGUGCGAACUGUUUUGCUUGAGCACUGUAGAGGCAGGCGGAAUUCCGGGUGUAGUGGUGGAAUGCGUAGAUAUCGGGAGGAACACCAGUGGCGAAGGCGGUUGCCUGGGGCUUUGCUGACGCUGAUGCGCGAAAGCGUGGGGAGCGAUCCGG